GACGAACGCUGGCGGCGUGCUUAACACAUGCAAGUCGAACGGGCCCGCUCUCUUUUUUGGGGGUGGGUUGGGUGGCGAACGGGUGAGUAUCACGUGAGUAACCUGCCCCCUGCUCCUGGAUAACUGCUUGAAAGGGCGGCUAAUACGGGGUGUGCCGGCUGGUCCGCAUGGGCCUGGUCGGGAUAGUUUCAUCUUCGGGUGUUUCGGUGGGGGAUGGGCUCGCGGCCUAUCAGCUUGUUGGUGGGGUGAUGGCCCACCAAGGCGGUGACGGGUAGCCGGCCUGAGAGGGUGGGCGGCCACACUGGGACUGAGACACGGCCCAGACUCCUGCGGGAGGCAGCAGUGGGGGGUAUUGCACAAUGGGCGGAAGCCUGAUGCAGCGACGUCGCGUGAGGGAUGGAGGCCUUCGGGUUGUGAACCUCUUUCUCCGGUGGUGAAGGCCCUGUCCGUUGCGGCGGGGUUGACGGUAGCCGGGUAUGAAGCGCCGGCUAACUACGUG
Molecule: ribosomal RNA, 499 nt
Filed under: uncultured bacterium
Lineage: Bacteria
Description: partial 16S ribosomal RNA
Rfam family: Bacterial small subunit ribosomal RNA
Source: RNAcentral